ACACAGCUCUCUCCACCCCAACCCAGUAAAGAGACCUGCAGCAGGUGAGUUAGAACCUCAAAUGAGAAAGCCGAAGAGUCAACUGAAAGACCAGGAAAUACUUGAUUGCUAGCAUGCAUCUCCCUAAAUUGGAAUACAGCCACAAACCCUCGGGGCGAAAUCCCCAACCCCCACAGCAGCAGCCGGACAGCAUCUGGGUUUCUUCAUUUUAAUGCUUCAACAUUUCUGCGGUGGGCACUGGGAUGACGUAUACCUUCAGAAACAAACAGCUCAUCCUCAGUGUGCUGGUGUGCAUAGCACCCUCCAGCGUGAUGAAAUCGAGCCAGUAGAGCUGAACUUCAGACCAGCACCAGCUUGAUUGAUUUGUGUAUGUUGGGCAGGCUUUUGUGCCACCUGUUUUUGUUUUUGUAUUUAUUCUAUGUGCAGCAAGAAGCCAAAGGGAAGAAAAGGAGCAUAGAGUAUUUCUUCCCUUUAUUCUUUCCUUGGAGUUUUCCAGCUUCUCUCCAUCACCAAAGGAGGCUGCUCUUCUCAGGGCGAUCACUCUCCAUGAGUCUUCCUCCUGGCUGCCCUCUUCUUCUUGUCUUAACAUGCAGCUGGGAUCCUCUCUUGUUCCCUGACAAUUAUGACUACUCUGAAACUGUGAAGCAGGAUCCAUAAAUGUGAAAACUCUGAAUAGCUGUAAACAGUUCCCAAGCUGGAACUGCUUGGGUCGGAAUUAAUAAACGACAAGGUUGGAGGAGG
Non-coding RNA from Rattus norvegicus (Norway rat), 741 nucleotides. The record is from RefSeq and is a predicted model, not a curated record. NCBI's taxonomy places the organism in Eukaryota, Metazoa, Chordata, Mammalia, Rodentia, Muridae.